Sulfolobus acidocaldarius DSM 639 is the source of this 74-nucleotide transfer RNA. It matches the Rfam family "tRNA". From Rfam's summary of the family: Transfer RNA (tRNA) molecules are approximately 80 nucleotides in length. Their secondary structure includes four short double-helical elements and three loops (D, anti-codon, and T loops). NCBI's taxonomy places the organism in Archaea, Thermoproteati, Thermoproteota, Thermoprotei, Sulfolobales, Sulfolobaceae. The record is from Rfam.
AGCGGCGUAGGGAAGCCUGGUAUCCCGCAGGGCUCAUAACCCUGAGGUCCCUGGUUCAAAUCCAGGCGCCGCUA